This 686-nucleotide ribosomal RNA is filed under the name uncultured Cribraria. RNAcentral describes it as "bacterial SSU rRNA". It matches the Rfam family "Eukaryotic small subunit ribosomal RNA", at positions 90 to 563 of the family's 1831-position model. The record is from RNAcentral. Lineage: Eukaryota; Evosea; Eumycetozoa; Liceales.
CGAACGGCUCCGUAUAUCUGUGAUAACCCUGCUGAUAAAUAUUAAAAGUUCACUAGCAUAAUCUAGUGAGUCAGCCUGUUAUUUCCUCCUUGGAGGAGAUGACUACAAAUCUUAAUUUGGGACUGAUAUUUCAGUAACUUUUUAUCUUUUGUUGUGCUUACUUACAUGGAUAUCCGACGGUAAUUCUGCGGCUAAUACAUGCUUUCUUGAUAGCUCAAGGUAUUAUUUAUGGCCUUCUCUAACAGAGAAAGCCCUCUAAUUUUAAUGCUAGCUGUCAUGGAGGACUACCUCCUUGAACCCUUACCUUAAUUUGGUAUGCAACACUCUUUUACUGAGUGAAUAUCUCUCCUUGACUAACUGGUACGUUCCCCCUAUUGUUACAUCGUUUUCUUUUAGGGGGUUUCUCCGGUAAAUUAGAGGGGUUUCAGCUCUAUCAACUGUUGAGCAGGGUAUUGACCUGUUCAGGUGAUCACGGAUACAGAGAAUCAGGGCUCGAUUCUGGAGAGGAAGCUUAAAAAUCCGCUUCUACUUCUAAGGAAGGCAGCAGGCGCGAAACGUUCCCAAUAACUGCCCUAUACACAGGUCGAGGACGUUAGGAAACAUACGGAACUGGGCUAUUAUGGCUCAGACAUUCGGAUGAGGGCAAAAUAGAACUCUCACCUAGUAACAAUUAGUGGGAAAGUCUG